RNAcentral lists this ribosomal RNA (340 nucleotides) under uncultured Anoxybacillus sp. Its description in RNAcentral is "bacterial SSU rRNA". It matches the Rfam family "Bacterial small subunit ribosomal RNA", at positions 1044 to 1382 of the family's 1533-position model. The record is from RNAcentral. Lineage: Bacteria; Bacillati; Bacillota; Bacilli; Caryophanales; Anoxybacillaceae.
CAUGGUUGUCGUCAGCUCGUGUCGUGAGAUGUUGGGUUAAGUCCCGCAACGAGCGCAACCCUCGACCUUAGUUGCCAGCAUUCAGUUGGGCACUCUAAGGUGACUGCCGGCUAAAAGUCGGAGGAAGGUGGGGAUGACGUCAAAUCAUCAUGCCCCUUAUGACCUGGGCUACACACGUGCUACAAUGGGCGGUACAAAGGGUCGCGAACCCGCGAGGGGGGAGCCAAUCCCAAAAAAGCCGCUCUCAGUUCGGAUUGCAGGCUGCAACUCGCCUGCAUGAAGCCGGAAUCGCUAGUAAUCGCGGAUCCAGCAUGCCGCGGUGAAUACGUUCCCGGGCCUU